AGUUAAAAAGCUUAAAGAGCAUUAUGUCUUGAAAAUAUAAAAUAGAAAAUCAAAUCUUUUAACUU
This 65-nucleotide transfer RNA is filed under the name Hemisphaerius rufovarius. RNAcentral's name for it is "tRNA-Ser". Lineage: Eukaryota; Metazoa; Arthropoda; Insecta; Hemiptera; Issidae. The record is from RNAcentral.